This 750-nucleotide ribosomal RNA is filed under the name uncultured Lachnospiraceae bacterium. Its description in RNAcentral is "bacterial SSU rRNA". It matches the Rfam family "Bacterial small subunit ribosomal RNA", at positions 29 to 780 of the family's 1533-position model. Lineage: Bacteria; Bacillati; Bacillota; Clostridia; Lachnospirales; Lachnospiraceae. The record is from RNAcentral.
AUGAACGCUGGCGGCGUGCCUAACACAUGCAAGUCGAACGAAGUUACACAGAGGAAGUUUUCGGAUGGAAUCAGUAUAACUUAGUGGCGGACGGGUGAGUAACGCGUGGGAAACCUGCCCUGUACCGGGGGAUAACACUUAGAAAUAGGUGCUAAUACCGCAUAAGCGCACGGAACCGCAUGGUUCCGUGUGAAAAACUCCGGUGGUACAGGAUGGUCCCGCGUCUGAUUAGCCAGUUGGCAGGGUAAUGGCCUACCAAAGCGACGAUCAGUAGCCGGCCUGAGAGGGUGAACGGCCACAUUGGGACUGAGACACGGCCCAAACUCCUACGGGAGGCAGCAGUGGGGAAUAUUGCACAAUGGGGGAAACCCUGAUGCAGCGACGCCGCGUGAGUGAAGAAGUAUUUCGGUAUGUAAAGCUCUAUCAGCAGGGAAGAAAAUGACGGUACCUGACUAAGAAGCCCCGGCUAACUACGUGCCAGCAGCCGCGGUAAUACGUAGGGGGCAAGCGUUAUCCGGAUUUACUGGGUGUAAAGGGAGCGUAGACGGCAUGGCAAGCCAGAUGUGAAAACCCAGGGCUCAACCUUGGGAUUGCAUUUGGAACUGCCAGGCUGGAGUGCAGGAGAGGUAAGCGGAAUUCCUAGUGUAGCGGUGAAAUGCGUAGAUAUUAGGAGGAACACCAGUGGCGAAGGCGGCUUACUGGACUGUAACUGACGUUGAGGCUCGAAAGCGUGGGGAGCAAACAGGAUUA